Molecule: ribosomal RNA, 465 nt
Filed under: uncultured Klebsiella sp.
Lineage: Bacteria; Pseudomonadati; Pseudomonadota; Gammaproteobacteria; Enterobacterales; Enterobacteriaceae
Description: bacterial SSU rRNA
Rfam family: Bacterial small subunit ribosomal RNA
Source: RNAcentral
CCUACGGGAGGCAGCAGUGGGGAAUAUCGCACAAUGGGCGCAAGCCUGAUGCAGCCAUGCCGCGUGUGUGAAGAAGGCCUUCGGGUUGUAAAGCACUUUCAGCGGGGAGGAAGGCGGUGAGGUUAAUAACCUCAUCGAUUGACGUUACCCGCAGAAGAAGCACCGGCUAACUCCGUGCCAGCAGCCGCGGUAAUACGGAGGGUGCAAGCGUUAACCGGAAUUACUGGGCGUAAAGCGCACGCAGGCGGUCUGUCAAGUCGGAUGUGAAAUCCCCGGGCUCAACCUGGGAACUGCAUUCGAAACUGGCAGGCUAGAGUCCUGUAGAGGGGGGUAGAAUUCCAGGUGUAGCGGUGAAAUGCGUAGAGAUCUGGAGGAAUACCGGUGGCGAAGGCGGCCCCCUGGACAAAGACUGACGCUCAGGUGCGAAAGCGUGGGGAGCAAACAGGAUUAGAUACCCCGGUAGUC